UGAGGAAUUUUGCGCAAUGGGCGCAAUCCUGACGCAGCAACGCCGCGUGGGUGAAGAAGGCCUUCGGGUCGUAAAGCCCUGUCGGGUGGGAAGAAGGAUCUCAUCAGGAAAGGGGUGGGAUUUGACGGUACCACCAGAGGAAGCACCGGCUAACUCCGUGCCAGCAGCCGCGGUAAUACGGAGGGUGCGAGCGUUAUUCGGAAUUACUGGGCGUAAAGCGCGUGUAGGCGGGGAGGCAAGUCUGAUGUGAAAGCCCUGGGCUUAACCUGGGAAGUGCAUUGGAAACUGCUUUUCUUGAGUACUGGAGAGGAAGGGGGAAUGCCCGGUGUAGAGGUGAAAUUCGUAGAGAUCGGGAGGAAUACCAGUGGCGAAGGCGCCCUUCUGGACGGUUACUGACGCUGAGACGCGAAAGCGUGGGGAGCAAACAG
This 428-nucleotide ribosomal RNA is filed under the name uncultured bacterium. Its description in RNAcentral is "bacterial SSU rRNA". It matches the Rfam family "Bacterial small subunit ribosomal RNA", at positions 355 to 775 of the family's 1533-position model. The record is from RNAcentral.